GUGAAAAGAAUUUUAGAAUUUAUGUCACAUUUUGUUGUGCCAAAUUACUUUCAACCAGGCGUGCACAAUGUAAUACCAGAUGUCCAAACUCAAGUUGGUUUGAAUGUUGAUAAUUAAUGGCAAUUUUCAUUCAUAAUUUGACAUAAAUUUCACUCCUACAUACUAUGUACUUGUGCAUCUGUACAGAAUGGGGUAUAUUGCCCUGUGCUAACACCAGAUGCAUUGUGUCAGGAUAAAGUCUAUCAGCCCCAUGGAUUUUUUUCCAGCUGAAAAUGUAAAUACCCUAUCAAAAUCAAAUGUUGAAGUCGUAGAAAUGUAGGCUUGGCCUUCGCUACUGAUGUUGCUGUUCUUGUUCUUACAAAAGUUCUAUGGGUGUUUGCUGUUUUGGUUCAUUUGUGUGCUUGGGAGUUGAACUGCAUCGAUAGACAGGUUUUAUUUGUAAAGAGGUUUUAUUGUAGUAUUUACCAUUCAAGAGCAAGACAUGUUGCUAACCACCAUGCUGAAGUGAUUCUGAAGUGGGAUUGGAUUUCCUUUUCAAAUCUGGCUAACGCCAGGUAAUAUUUGUGGAACCUUUAACGUCUGCGGAUAUACAUUCCAAAAUCUGAAAGGGUGUCUUUCUCGCUCUAUUAGUUAUCCUUAAGUAUUUGUGGAUGAGAAGGAGCAACAGACAUUCAAGCUAUUACGAGAUUUUAAAGCAUACUACAGAACGAUACAUUUCAGCCUUGCUUAUUCAGAGCAAUGCUAUUCUUCUGUUUUCCACUCCCUCAUCUCUUCUGCUUUUCUGUGAUUGUUCUCUGCAGUACUUUGUAAGUAAUUAACAGUGCAGCAGCAGUGAGUUGCAGACACACUUUUGGAUAGAGUUAAACUUAGAUAGACAAUGUGUAAGGAUAGUGUGUUACAGAACUAUGAUCAAAGUUGUGCUGCCUUUCAUUGCAUUUUGCUAAAAGCAAGUUUUAAAUCUCAAGUUCAGAAUGGAGGUUGUGUAUCGGAAUUCAAGAACGAAGUGUUCUGCAAAUUUUACCAGACACUCAGAUUAUAUUUUCAAAAGUAAAUAUAUACAUUUGAAGUUUGUCUAAUGUCUCAUUCAAGUUGUAAACUCAAAUGGAUUAAUUUUACAGUAUGUUUUUACUAAAGUACAAAAAUACCAAGUGCUACUUCUCAUCUUGAUUGUGGAAUGUAUUUCUUUUUCUGUUUGUGGGCCACAUCCCAAAUAAAUAAGGAAUUUUGUUAUAAAA
This is a long non-coding RNA of Frankliniella occidentalis (western flower thrips), 1235 nucleotides long. RefSeq lists it as uncharacterized. NCBI's taxonomy places the organism in Eukaryota, Metazoa, Arthropoda, Insecta, Thysanoptera, Thripidae. The transcript is spliced from 4 exons. The record is from RefSeq and is a predicted model, not a curated record.